CAGAGUUCAUGCCCUUACGGGUAGAUCUCCCACCCUUGUAUAUUAUAUUAUAUGUUGCUUUGGCGGGUUCACACCCGCCAGAGGACCCAAACUCUGUGUUUAGUGUCGUCUGAGUACUAUAAAAUAGUUA
RNAcentral lists this unclassified non-coding RNA (130 nucleotides) under uncultured Hyaloscyphaceae. Its description in RNAcentral is "sequence contains ITS1". The record is from RNAcentral. Lineage: Eukaryota; Fungi; Ascomycota; Leotiomycetes; Helotiales.